AAAAGAUUAGUACCGUUUAUUCAGAGAACGUUCUAAAGUCCAUUAUACAAAGUCAUCCAUUUUAUAGCUGCGCACAAACAGUAGGUAUCCUACGCACAUACUUCCACACAAACAGUAGGUAUCCUACGCACAUACUUCCACACAAACAGUAGGUAUCCUACGCACAUACUUCCACACAAACAGUAGGUAUCCUACGCACAUACUUCCACACAAACAGUAGGUAUCCUACGCACAUACUUCCACACAAACAGUAGGUAUCCUACGCACAUACUUCCACACAAACAGUAGGUAUCCUACGCACAUACUUCCACACAAACAGUAGGUAUCCUACGCACAUACUUCCACACAAACAGUAGGUAUCCUACGCACAUACUUCCACACAAACAGUAGGUAUCCUACGCACAUACUUCCACACAAACAGUAGGUAUCCUACGCGCACAUACUUCCACACAAACAGUAGGUGAGUUUUAUCCUUCUCCAUAGUUCUCACCACUGUGUAUCACUACCCAGCCGACAGUUCCAUUCCCCCGAGAUUAGGGAAACCUUGAGAAGUACUCCCUAUGCCCUCAUAAAUUCCGCAGAGGCCUAGCCAGGUCGGUCCAAACACACUUUAACUGUUAUCAUUUUUUUUCUUCGGCACACACAUACAAGUUCAAAUCCUAAACUACGCCUUGCCCAGACAGCCUGUGUUUUUCCACUAUACAGAUACAUUGUUUAAUCUAAUUCUGAUUUAAAACUACACACAUUAUCAGACUAUAAUUUUAUGAUUCUAAUCAAUUUCAUACAAUUAUAUAAGGUUUCAGAGUGGAAUUAUUUUAUCAUUAUCUUU
Long non-coding RNA from Oncorhynchus keta (chum salmon), 829 nucleotides. RefSeq lists it as uncharacterized. NCBI's taxonomy places the organism in Eukaryota, Metazoa, Chordata, Actinopteri, Salmoniformes, Salmonidae. The transcript is spliced from 3 exons. The record is from RefSeq and is a predicted model, not a curated record.